CUAGGGCAAGAAAAUAUUGGGUAAUCUCCAUGUCCAUUCAGUUCUUGCCCUUUCUUGCUGAUAGUACCACCCAGGGGCAGGUGCCAGCUGAGGGGUGGUGGUCUCUCUGAUGUGGACACCUGUCUGCUGGGAGCUGGAGUGAGACCACCAAUUGGAUUUCACACUUUUUUGACUUUUUGUGAUUACCAAAUCAGGUGAUCUCCAUCCUGAAUUCUUCAUUUGUCACCACAGGCCAGACUGACAAGCUGUGUUUUCCCUUUUCCAAAGCAGUGGAAGCAGAAAAAUCAGAUUUGGCCUUAGUUGCAUAUGGAACAGCAACAGCUUCUCCUAAUGACUUUCCCUAAAUUCUUGAAAUGUGGCUAAUGCAGGCACAUUAAUCAUAACAUUUAUUUACUGAUGAGCUGGAAGCAUGAAACAGAUUUGUUCACUGCCGCUCAAACAUAACAUUCUCUAGUUCAGAGCUUUG
RNAcentral lists this long non-coding RNA (466 nucleotides) under Chrysemys picta bellii (western painted turtle). RNAcentral's name for it is "lncRNA (ENSCPBG00000020342.1)". Lineage: Eukaryota; Metazoa; Chordata; Testudines; Emydidae. The record is from RNAcentral.